UACGUAGGUGGCGAGCGUUGUCCGGAUUUAUUGGGCGUAAAGCGCGCGCAGGCGGUGCGGUAAGUCUGUCGUGAAAUCUCCCGGCUCAACUGGGAGGGUGCGGUGGAGACUGCCGGACUAGAGGCACUCAGAGGCCGGUGGAAUUCCCGGUGUAGUGGUGAAAUGCGUAGAGAUCGGGAGGAACACCAGUGGCGAAGGCGGCCGGCUGGGGGUGACCUGACGCUGAGGCGCGAAAGCGUGGGGAGCGAACCGG
RNAcentral lists this ribosomal RNA (253 nucleotides) under uncultured bacterium. Its description in RNAcentral is "partial 16S ribosomal RNA". It matches the Rfam family "Bacterial small subunit ribosomal RNA", at positions 524 to 776 of the family's 1533-position model. The record is from RNAcentral.